CAGCAGCCGCGGGAAUACGGAGGGUGCAAGCGUUAAUCGGAAUUACUGGGCGUAAAGCGCACGCAGGCGGUCUGUCAAGUCAGAUGUGAAAUCCCCGGGCUUAACCUGGGAACUGCAUUUGAAACUGGCAGGUUAGAGUCUUGUAGAGGGGGGUAGAAUUCCAGGUGUAGCGGUGAAAUGCGUAGAGAUCUGGAGGAAUACCGGUGGCGAAGGCGGCCCCCUGGACAAAGACUGACGCUCAGGUGCGAAAGCGUGGGGAGCAAACAGGAUUAGAUACCCCGGUAGUCCCUGUCUCUUAUAC
Molecule: ribosomal RNA, 301 nt
Filed under: uncultured bacterium
Lineage: Bacteria
Description: partial 16S ribosomal RNA
Rfam family: Bacterial small subunit ribosomal RNA
Source: RNAcentral